CCCUUAGAUGUUCUGGGCCGCACGCGCGCUACACUGUUCGACGCAGCGAGUCUUAACCUUGACCGAAAGGUUUGGGUAAUCUUCAGCAAAGUCGAACGUGAUGGGGAUCGAUCAUUGCAAUUAUUGAUCGUGAACGAGGAAUUCCUAGUAAGUGCAAGUCAUCAGCUUGCGCUGAUUACGUCCCUGCCCUUUGUACACACCGCCCGUCGCUCCUACCGAUUGAAUGUGUUGGUGAGGAGCUCGGAUUGGCAGCAGUUGGUGGUUCGCCACCGGCUAUUGCUGAGAGGUCCUCCAAACCGCCCCAUUUAGAGGAAGGAGAAGUCGUAACA
RNAcentral lists this ribosomal RNA (329 nucleotides) under uncultured eukaryote. Its description in RNAcentral is "partial 18S ribosomal RNA". It matches the Rfam family "Eukaryotic small subunit ribosomal RNA", at positions 1470 to 1796 of the family's 1831-position model. The record is from RNAcentral.